RNAcentral lists this ribosomal RNA (484 nucleotides) under uncultured bacterium. RNAcentral describes it as "partial 16S ribosomal RNA". It matches the Rfam family "Bacterial small subunit ribosomal RNA", at positions 30 to 507 of the family's 1533-position model. The record is from RNAcentral.
AUUGAACGCUGGCGGCAGGCCUAACACAUGCAAGUCGAGCGGAUGAAGGGAGCUUGCUCCUGGAUUCAGCGGCGGACGGGUGAGUAAUGCCUAGGAAUCUGCCUGGUAGUGGGGGAUAACGUCCGGAAACGGGCGCUAAUACCGCAUACGUCCUGAGGGAGAAAGUGGGGGAUCUUCGGACCUCACGCCAUCAGAUGAGCCUAGGUCGGAUUAGCUAGUUGGUGGGGUAAAGGCCUACCAAGGCGACGAUCCGUAACUGGUCUGAGAGGAUGAUCAGUCACACUGGAGCUGGGACACGGUCCAGACUCCUACGGGAGGCAGCAGUGGGGAAUAUUGGACAAUGGGCGAAAGCCUGAUCCAGCCAUGCCGCGUGUGUGAAGAAGGUCUUCGGAUUGUAAAGCACUUUAAGUUGGGAGGAAGGGCAGUAAGUUAAUACCUUGCUGUUUUGACGUUACCAACAGAAGAAGCACCGGCUAACUUCGUG